Molecule: long non-coding RNA, 1332 nt
Organism: Neodiprion virginianus
Lineage: Eukaryota; Metazoa; Arthropoda; Insecta; Hymenoptera; Diprionidae
Exons: 4
Source: RefSeq, a predicted model, not a curated record
AUACGGGCGGGAUCAACGGGCACGGUGAUGCGUGACUUUGUAAUAAUAAUAAUAAUAAUAAUGUCAUGUAAUACGCCUCGUUGAAUCAGACAUCCGAUACAGGUUUCGAUUUGUUUGUUUGUUUCCGUUCUAUUUUUUUUUUUUUUUUUUUUACUGUGAAAAUUAUAGUUAUUAAUCAAUUAUUUAUUUGUAAAACGCUGAUGAAGUUGAAGAUUUGAUGAUUAUGAUAAUUAAUAUUAUUACAUUAUUACUACUAUUAUUGUAACAACUAUUACUAUUAUUACUAGCAUUAUCAUUAUCAUACGAAGACGAAGAACAAAGAUUCGCUAAUGUUCCUGUUAAAUAAUAUUAAUGAAAGAAGAAGAAGAAAAAUGAAUAAGUAAAGUAAAAUAAAACUCGAUAAUAAUAAUGAAGUAAAAAUUAAAUGAUCGAAUAUAAAAUAUUAUCAUAGCAACUAAGUCAUGUGGACUCGAACUAAGCUCGAUCGUGGCCUGUAUUAUUGUAUUUAAAAAUAAUAACGUAAUGUAACACGCGCGAUAUAUGACGCGGGGCGGGGGAAGAGAAAUAAAUGUAAAAUGUAUAUCUGACAAGCCAAAAAUUUUGGCGUUUAAAUUUGGUAACGAGAUGCGGUUUAAUUAUAUAAUAUAUAGGUAUAGUUAUAUACUUGAUUGUGAGUGUCGAUCGGGCUGGUUCGGGGGUGCUACUAAAAAAAACUACCCUACUACCACCCACAAUCUGUAGAGGCACGUAUAACAAAAUGGGUGGGGGGAAUAAAAACUGAAAUUUUUAUAAUUUCUUAAUCUUGCGUCAAUAUAAUGUAUACGCUAUACAUGCAUAUUAUAUAUGAAUGACCUAGGGAAACAAUUUGUCAUUUUUUGUACUUACCGCGUAUAACUUCUUUCGACAAUUUCAUUUCAUAGUAUAUAAAUAUAUGUACAUUAAUUGACAUAUGUGUCGACGCAUCUCGCAUAUAUAUAUAUAUGCUGCAACUUCUCGAAAAAUACUUUAACUCGUCUUGUCUCAUUUUCUGAUACAUUAUUCAAAUAUUAUCGCAAUUUCGAGAUUGCGAGAGGGAGUGAGAAACAGAGAGAGAGGUUAAAGGGUGAAAACGUACCAUCGUGAGUGACUUCGAUUGGCGUUCUUCAUCCCUUCUUGCACUGCUCCCCUUAUUCCGAUAUCCUAUUUCGUCCUUAAACCCCCGACCCCCCGAAAACUCAUCUCGUAAUUAUGGUAUAGAUCACAUUGUAAAGACUUCGAGUAUAAUAACUUUUUGUAUAAAAAAAAUUCUGUAUAUUUGUAGUAGACAUCGGACGAGCGUCGUGUAGGAAAGAG